RNAcentral lists this unclassified non-coding RNA (42 nucleotides) under Sorangium cellulosum So ce56. Its description in RNAcentral is "sce_s2m_6". Lineage: Bacteria; Pseudomonadati; Myxococcota; Polyangiales; Polyangiaceae. The record is from RNAcentral.
GUACGCCGGGCUGGAGGCGAGCCACGCGCCCAUCGCCGAGCA